Molecule: unclassified non-coding RNA, 357 nt
Filed under: plant metagenome
Description: partial contains 5.8S ribosomal RNA, internal transcribed spacer 2, and large subunit ribosomal RNA
Rfam family: 5.8S ribosomal RNA (bases 1-106)
Source: RNAcentral
CGAAAUGCGAUAAGUAAUGUGAAUUGCAGAAUUCAGUGAAUCUUCGAAUCUUUGAACGCACCUUGCGCUCCUUGGUAUUCCGAGGAGCAUGCCUGUUUGAGUGUCAUUAUAUUCUCAACCACUCUGGCUUUUGAGGUCAGCUUGUGGCUUGGAAUUGGGGGUGAACUUCUGCGGGCCUCUCUGAGGUCAGCUCCCCUAAAAUGCAUUAGCGGAACCGUUUGCGGUGCGUCGCCGGUGUGAUAAUUAUCUACGCCAAAGAUGAGCGCUGCUCUCUGUCUGUUCAGCUUCUAACUGUCCUUCUUGGACAACUUGAACAUUUGACCUCAAAUCAGGUAGGACUACCCGCUGAACUUAAGC